ACGCUCGACACCUACGAGAGGCAGCAGUGGGGAAUAUUGCACAAUGGGGGAAACCCUGAUGCAGCGACGCCGCGUGGAGGAAGAAGGUCUUCGGAUUGUAAACUCCUGUUGUUGGGGAAAAAGAGGAUGGUACCCAACAAGGAAGUGACGGCUAACUACGUGCCAGCAGCCGCGGUAAUCUGAGGCGGGCUGGACAAGGC
Molecule: ribosomal RNA, 200 nt
Filed under: uncultured bacterium
Lineage: Bacteria
Description: partial 16S ribosomal RNA
Rfam family: Bacterial small subunit ribosomal RNA
Source: RNAcentral